CCUACGGGGGGCUGCAGUGGGGGAUUUUGGACAAUGGGCGAAAGCCUGAUCCAGCGACGCCGCGUGGAGGACGAAGCCCUUCGGGGUGUAAACUCCUUUUCUCAGGGAAAAAGGAUGAUGGUACCUGAGGAAUAAGCCCCGGCUAACUACGUGCCAGCAGCCGCGGUAAUACGUAGGGGGCGAGCGUUACCCGGAAUUACUGGGCGUAAAGGGUGCGUAGGCGGCCUUACAAGUCCGGUGUUAAAAGCCCUGACUCAACUAGGGAGAUGCGCUGGAAACUGUGAGGCUUGGGUGCAGCAUAGGCAGAUGGAACUGCUGGUGUAGGGGUGAAAUCCGUAGAUAUCAGCAGGAACGCCGGUGGAGAAGUCGGUCUGCUGGGCUGCGACCGACGCUGAGGCACGAAAGCUAGGGGAGCGAACCGGAUUAGAUACCCGGGUAGUCGC
Molecule: ribosomal RNA, 443 nt
Filed under: uncultured Fervidobacterium sp.
Lineage: Bacteria; Thermotogati; Thermotogota; Thermotogae; Thermotogales; Fervidobacteriaceae
Description: bacterial SSU rRNA
Rfam family: Bacterial small subunit ribosomal RNA
Source: RNAcentral